AAUGUUGAUGGAUUCCACUUUUCAAAUGCCCAGUUCUUGGUUUAAUAGAGCAAUAAUGUCCAGCAAAACACACUUCCAUUUGUCAUUGGUCUCUAUUAUGGGAAGAAGAAGCCAACCAGCCUUCACUUUUUGAAUCCUUUUGUAGAAGAGGCACAGCGGCUUGAAGCAGAAGGAGUUCUGUUUGACGGGAGAGCACUUUCUUUCAAAAUAUCAACAUUCAUCUGUGACGCCCCUGCUUGUGCGCUUGUUAGAAAUGUGAAAGGUCACAGUGGAUAUUGUGGGUGUGACAAGUGUGUUCAAAAGGGGGUCCACUACGAGAACAGGAUGACUUUUCACAGAUGCAGAAGAUUUCCAGAGACUCAAAUGAAGAUCCAAGCCCAGAGGGAGGAGAACCAAGCCUGGAGGGGAAGCAAUGCACGAGCAGCUUCGGAUGACUGCAGCUCACUUCAAGAGCAGGUGCAGAUCAGACCCUAAUGCUGCGACGUCUUGGAAAGUUUGGCGAUGUUGUGCGUAGCAUGGAAAACAAAAUGGACACAUUGCUGCAACAUUUCAGUGCCUGUUGUGUCUGUUGGAGAGUUAUCCCUGCCCGGUGGUCUUUUACUCCCCAUAAACACCCAGGAAGAUUUGGCGUUGCUUGACAGCAGCUUGAGGCAGGAUAGCGAGCUCCAGGAACGAUGUCUCCGGUUUUUGGCCAUCAAAUGUGGGAAGGACCUGAAGACAACCGUGUGGAGAAUGCUUCAAAGUAUCUUCUCAAAUCGCCUUCAAUUUCUACAACUUGGACUGGUGUAGGGGCUAAAGCAUGUUUUAAAGACCUGUUCCUGAAGACUAUUGUUCAAAGUAAGUUAGAUAUUCUCUUAAGUAGAUGUUUAUGCGUUGUGUAUUCAAAUGGAAUGACAGAUCUGUAUUUUCUACAGGGGCCAUACGGAAGAAUCCGGCAACCCAGGAUGCCACUGAUAAGGUGGUCCAGGUUAAUGUAAUGCGUUACCUGAAAGGAGCAUCUGACUGCGAAGGUGGAAAAAGGUCCGGCACAACAGAGAGGGACCCACAGCCGACUCCUUAAACCUAGGCUUGUCUACUGUGCGUGUGUGUGUGUGUGUUUGUUUUCUUCUUUAUUUAUAUUGUGUUUACUGACGCAUCUCGUUUCAAUACUGUACUGAAAUGUGGAAUUAAAAUGUCAAAUGGAAAUUUGUCUGGUUUGAUCAAUCAUUAUUCUAGAUAAACUGCAUGCUAUAAACAUUUUAUUUAUAUAA
Molecule: long non-coding RNA, 1250 nt
Organism: Gasterosteus aculeatus (three-spined stickleback)
Lineage: Eukaryota; Metazoa; Chordata; Actinopteri; Perciformes; Gasterosteidae
Source: Ensembl